Molecule: ribosomal RNA, 253 nt
Filed under: uncultured bacterium
Lineage: Bacteria
Description: partial 16S ribosomal RNA
Rfam family: Bacterial small subunit ribosomal RNA
Source: RNAcentral
UACGUAGGGUGCAAGCGUUAAUCGGAAUUACUGGGCGUAAAGCGUGCGCAGGCGGUUUUGUAAGUCUGAUGUGAAAUCCCCGGGCUCAACCUGGGAAUUGCAUUGGAGACUGCAAGGCUAGAAUCUGGUAGAGGGGGGUAGAAUUCCACGUGUAGCAGUGAAAUGCGUAGAGAUGUGGAGGAACACCGAUGGCGAAGGCAGCCCCCUGGGUCAAGAUUGACGCUCAUGCACGAAAGCGUGGGGAGCAAACAGG